GACUGCUGCGGUGGCCUAAAAGGUUUUAGUGUCUCCCUUGGAUGGGGUAGAUCGCGGGUUCAAGCCCCGGUCGAGUCA
Molecule: non-coding RNA, 78 nt
Organism: Potamilus streckersoni
Lineage: Eukaryota; Metazoa; Mollusca; Bivalvia; Unionida; Unionidae
Source: the annotation of a GenBank genome assembly